Molecule: ribosomal RNA, 841 nt
Filed under: uncultured Micromonas
Lineage: Eukaryota; Viridiplantae; Chlorophyta; Mamiellophyceae; Mamiellales
Description: partial Bacterial small subunit ribosomal RNA
Rfam family: Bacterial small subunit ribosomal RNA
Source: RNAcentral
GCGGCUUUUUAAGUCGGAUGUGAAAUCCCUGAGCUUAACUUAGGAAUUGCAUUCGAUACUGGGAAGCUAGAGUAUGGGAGAGGAUGGUAGAAUUCCAGGUGUAGCGGUGAAAUGCGUAGAGAUCUGGAGGAAUACCGAUGGCGAAGGCAGCCAUCUGGCCUAAUACUGACGCUGAGGUACGAAAGCAUGGGGAGCAAACAGGAUUAGAUACCCUGGUAGUCCAUGCCGUAAACGAUGUCUACUAGCCGUUGGGGCCUUUGAGGCUUUAGUGGCGCAGCUAACGCGAUAAGUAGACCGCCUGGGGAGUACGGUCGCAAGACUAAAACUCAAAUGAAUUGACGGGGGCCCGCACAAGCGGUGGAGCAUGUGGUUUAAUUCGAUGCAACGCGAAGAACCUUACCAAGGCUUGACAUACACCGGAAACGGCCAGAGAUGGUCGCCCCCUUGUGGUCGGUGUACAGGUGGUGCAUGGUUGUCGUCAGCUCGUGUCGUGAGAUGUUGGGUUAAGUCCCGCAACGAGCGCAACCCUUUUCCUUAUUUGCCAGCGGGUUAAGCCGGGAACUUUAAGGAUACUGCCAGUGACAAACUGGAGGAAGGCGGGGACGACGUCAAGUCAUCAUGGCCCUUACGACCAGGGCUACACACGUGCUACAAUGGUCGGUACAAAGGGUUGCUACCUAGCGAUAGGAUGCUAAUCUCAAAAAGCCGAUCGUAGUCCGGAUUGGAGUCUGCAACUCGACUCCAUGAAGUCGGAAUCGCUAGUAAUCGCGGAUCAGAAUGCCGCGGUGAAUACGUUCCCGGGCCUUGUACACACCGCCCGUCACACCAUGGGAGUGGGUUG